UACGUAGGGUGCAAGCGUUGUCCGGAAUUACUGGGCGUAAAGCGCGUGUAGGCGGCUAAGUAAGUCGGGCGUGAAAUCCCACGGCUCAACCGUGGAAGUGCACUCGAAACUGCAUAGCUAGAGUCCUGGAGAGGAAGGUGGAAUGCUUGGUGUAGAGGUGAAAUUCGUAGAUAUCAAGCGGAACACCGGUGGCGAAGGCGGCCUUCUGGACAGUGACUGACGCUGAGACGCGAAAGCGUGGGGAGCAAACAGG
This 253-nucleotide ribosomal RNA is filed under the name uncultured bacterium. Its description in RNAcentral is "partial 16S ribosomal RNA". It matches the Rfam family "Bacterial small subunit ribosomal RNA", at positions 524 to 776 of the family's 1533-position model. The record is from RNAcentral.